UACGACCAUAUCCUAUUGAAACACCAGUUCUCGUACGAUGUCCGAAGUUAAGCAACGUCGGUCCUGGUCAGUAUCUAGAUGGGUGACCGCUUGGAAAUACCAGGUGCUGUAA
Molecule: non-coding RNA, 112 nt
Organism: Acanthosepion pharaonis
Lineage: Eukaryota; Metazoa; Mollusca; Cephalopoda; Sepiida; Sepiidae
Source: the annotation of a GenBank genome assembly